UACGUAGGUGGCAAGCGUUGUCCGGAUUUACUGGGCGUAAAGAGCGCGCAGGCGGUCGGAUAAGUCGAAUGUGAAAGCCCCCGGCUCAACUGGGGAGGGUCAUUCGAUACUGUUCGACUCGAAGGCAGGAGAGGGAAGUGGAAUUCCCGGUGUAGUGGUGAAAUGCGUAGAUAUCGGGAGGAACACCAGUGGCGAAGGCGAGUCUCUGGACAGCAACUGACGCUGAGGCACGAAGGCCAGGGGAGCAAACGGG
This 253-nucleotide ribosomal RNA is filed under the name uncultured bacterium. RNAcentral's name for it is "partial 16S ribosomal RNA". It matches the Rfam family "Bacterial small subunit ribosomal RNA", at positions 524 to 776 of the family's 1533-position model. The record is from RNAcentral.